This 1097-nucleotide ribosomal RNA is filed under the name Clostridioides difficile. RNAcentral describes it as "partial 23S ribosomal RNA". It matches the Rfam family "Bacterial large subunit ribosomal RNA", at positions 337 to 1444 of the family's 2925-position model. Lineage: Bacteria; Bacillati; Bacillota; Clostridia; Peptostreptococcales; Peptostreptococcaceae. The record is from RNAcentral.
AGAAGUUUGGAAAAACUCAUCAUAGAAGGUAAUAAUCCUGUAGUCAAAAUAAUAAUUCUUUAGGUAUGAUCCAGAGUACCACGGGACACGUGAAACCCUGUGGGAAGCAGGAGGGACCACCCUCCAAGGCUAAAUACUACCUAGUGACCGAUAGCGUAUAGUACCGUGAGGGAAAGGUGAAAAGAACCCCGGGAGGGGAGUGAAAUAGAACCUGAAACCCUGCACUUACAAGCUGUGGAAGCACAUUUCUUGUGUGACCGCGUACUUUUUGUAGAACGGGCCAACGAGUUACGUUAAGUAGCAAGGUUAAGCACUUAAGGUGCGGAGCCGUAGCGAAAGCGAGUUUUAACUGAGCGUUCAGUUACUUGACGUAGACCCGAAACCGGGCGACCUACCCAUGAGCAGGAUGAAGCGAAAGUAAAAUUUCGUGGAGGUCCGAACCCACGAGCGUUGAAAAGCUCGGGGAUGACUUGUGGGUAGCGGUGAAAUUCCAAUCGAGCCCGGAGAUAGCUGGUUCUCCCCGAAAUAGCUUUAGGGCUAGCCUCAAGGUGAGAGAUACGGAGGUAGAGCACUGAAUGUCCUAGGGGGUAUUGCACCUACCGAAGACUAUCAAACUCCGAAUGCCGUCAUCUUAUACUUGGGAGUCAGACUGUGGGUGAUAAGAUUCAUAGUCGAAAGGGCAACAGCCCAGAUCGUCAGCUAAGGUCCCUAAAUGUAAGUUAAGUGGUAAAGGAUGUGGGAUUGCACAGACAACCAGGAUGUUGGCUUAGAAGCAGCCACUCAUUCAAAGAGUGCGUAAUAGCUCACUGGUCGAGUGAUCCUGCGCCGAAGAUUUCCGGGGCUAAAACUUACUACCGAAGCUACGGCAUCAGUAAUGAUGGGUAGGGGAGCUUCCCAUACGGGUUGAAGCAUGACCGUAAGGACAUGUGGACAGUAUGGGAGUGAGAAUGUUGGCAUGAGUAGCGAGAUGUGGGUGAGAAUCCCACAGGCCGUAAACCCAAGGUUUCCAGGGGAAGGUUCGUCCGCCCUGGGUUAGUCGGGACCUAAGCUGAGGCCGAAAGGCGUAGGUGAUGGACAACAGGUUGAUAUUCCUGUAC